This 460-nucleotide ribosomal RNA is filed under the name uncultured bacterium. RNAcentral describes it as "partial 16S ribosomal RNA". It matches the Rfam family "Bacterial small subunit ribosomal RNA", at positions 338 to 795 of the family's 1533-position model. The record is from RNAcentral.
CCUACGGGAGGCAGCAGUGAGGAAUAUUGGUCAAUGGGCGCGAGCCUGAACCAGCCAAGUAGCGUGAAGGAUGACUGCCCUACGGGUUGUAAACUUCUUUUAUACAGGAAUAAAGUGAGGCACGUGUGCCUUUUUGUAUGUACUUUAUGAAUAAGCAUCGGCUAACUCCGUGCCAGCAGCCGCGGUAAUACGGAGGGUGCGAGCGUUAUCCGGAUUUAUUGGGUUUAAAGGGUGCGUAGGUUGUUUUUUAAGUUAGCGGUGAAAGUUUGUGGCUCAACCAUAAAAUUGCGGUGGAAACUGGAAUACUUGAGUGUGUUUGAGGUAGGCGGAAUGCGUGGUGUAGCGGUGAAAUGCAUAGAUAUCACGCAGAACUCCGAUUGCGAAGGCAGCUUACUAAGCCAUAACUGACACUGAAGCACGAAAGCGUGGGUAUCAAACAGGAUUAGAUACCCGAGUAGUC